GACGAACGCUGGCGGCGUGCUUAACACAUGCAAGUCGAACGGAAAGGCCCUGCUUUUGUGGGGUGCUCGAGUGGCGAACGGGUGAGUAACACGUGAGUAACCUGCCCUUGACUUUGGGAUAACUUCAGGAAACUGGGGCUAAUACCGGAUAGGAGCUCCUGCUGCAUGGUGGGGGUUGGAAAGUUUCGGCGGUUGGGGAUGGACUCGCGGCUUAUCAGCUUGUUGGUGGGGUAGUGGCUUACCAAGGCUUUGACGGGUAGCCGGCCUGAGAGGGUGACCGGCCACCUUGGGACUGAGAUACGGCCCAGACCCCUACGGGGGGCAGGAGGGGGGAAUAUUGCACCAUGGGCCGAAGCCUGAUGCAGGAACGCCGCGGUCGGGAUGACGGCCUUCGGGUUGUAAACCGCUUUCGCCUGUGACGAAGCGUGAGUGACGGUAAUGGGUAAAGAAGCACCGGCUAACUACGUG
Molecule: ribosomal RNA, 468 nt
Filed under: uncultured bacterium
Lineage: Bacteria
Description: partial 16S ribosomal RNA
Rfam family: Bacterial small subunit ribosomal RNA
Source: RNAcentral